Molecule: non-coding RNA, 21 nt
Filed under: Caenorhabditis elegans
Lineage: Eukaryota; Metazoa; Nematoda; Chromadorea; Rhabditida; Rhabditidae
Source: RNAcentral
UAUGACAGCCUUACUUACAUU